UUAACAUGAUGGACUAUAGGACAGGACUGCUGCUUUUAACUGUCUGCUGGGCAGGUGUCAGCAGUCAGACUCUGACGCAGUCUGAACCAGUGGUGAAGGGCCCCGGAGAAUCACACAAACUGACCUGUACAUAUGCAGGAAUAUCUGAUGAUAACGCUGUUAUGGCCUGGAUCAGACAGCCUGAAGGAAAGGGACUGGAGUGGGUUGCCUACAUUUCAGCUCCGAGUGGAAGCACUAAAACUUAUUCCACAUCAGUCCAGAAUCGCUUCACCAUCUCCAGAGACAACAAUGUGGACCAGGUGUAUCUGCAGAUGAACAGCCUGACUGCUGCAGACUCUGCUGUUUAUUAUUGUGCCCGACAGACACAGUGA
This is a non-coding RNA of Centropristis striata (black sea bass), 371 nucleotides long. Lineage: Eukaryota; Metazoa; Chordata; Actinopteri; Perciformes; Serranidae. The record is from the annotation of a RefSeq genome assembly.